AAAGGAAUAGACGGGGGCCCGCACAAGCAGCGGAGCGUGUGGUUUAAUUCGACGCAACGCGAAGAACCUUACCCAGGCUUGACAUGUGCCUGCACACGCCUGAAAGGGCGCUCCUUCGAGGGUGGCACACAGGUGCUGCAUGGUUGUCGUCAGCUCGUGUCGUGAGAUGUUGGGUUAAGUCCCGCAACGAGCGCAACCCGCGUCGGCAGUUAUACGUGUCUGCCGAGACAGCCGCCUUGAUGGGCGGAGGAAGGCGCGGAUGACGUCAAAUCAGCAUGGCCCUUACGCCUGGGGCGACACACACGCUACAAUGGCCAGGACAGUGCGCCGCUACCGAGCAAUCGGAGGCAAAUCGCCAAACCUGGCCCCAGUUCAGAUCGAGGGCUGCAACUCGCCCUCGUGAAGGCGGAGUUGCUAGUAACCGCGUAUCAGCCAUGGCGCGGUGAAUACGUUCCCGGGCCUUGUACACACCGCCCGU
RNAcentral lists this ribosomal RNA (478 nucleotides) under uncultured bacterium. Its description in RNAcentral is "bacterial SSU rRNA". It matches the Rfam family "Bacterial small subunit ribosomal RNA", at positions 903 to 1397 of the family's 1533-position model. The record is from RNAcentral.